This 460-nucleotide ribosomal RNA is filed under the name uncultured bacterium. RNAcentral describes it as "partial 16S ribosomal RNA". It matches the Rfam family "Bacterial small subunit ribosomal RNA", at positions 338 to 795 of the family's 1533-position model. The record is from RNAcentral.
CCUACGGGUGGCAGCAGUGAGGAAUAUUGGUCAAUGGACGAGAGUCUGAACCAGCCAAGUAGCGUGAAGGAUGACUGCCCUAUGGGUUGUAAACUUCUUUUAUAUGGGAAUAAAACGUUCCACGUGUGGGGUUCUGUAUGUACCAUAUGAAUAAGGAUCGGCUAACUCCGUGCCAGCAGCCGCGGUAAUACGGAGGAUCCGAGCGUUAUCCGGAUUUAUUGGGUUUAAAGGGAGCGUAGGCGGAUUGUUAAGUCAGUUGUGAAAGUUUGGGGCUCAACCGUAAAAUUGCAGUUGAAACUGGCAGUCUUGAGUACAGGAGAGGUGGGCGGAAUUCGUGGUGUAGCGGUGAAAUGCUUAGAUAUCACGAAGAACCCCGAUUGCGAAGGCAGCUUACUAAACUGUGACUGACACUGAUGCUCGAAAGUGUGGGUAUCAAACAGGAUUAGAUACCCCAGUAGUC